Molecule: transfer RNA, 87 nt
Filed under: Candidatus Evtepia faecavium
Lineage: Bacteria; Bacillati; Bacillota; Clostridia; Eubacteriales
Description: tRNA-Leu
Rfam family: tRNA
About the family: Transfer RNA (tRNA) molecules are approximately 80 nucleotides in length. Their secondary structure includes four short double-helical elements and three loops (D, anti-codon, and T loops). Further hydrogen bonds mediate the characteristic L-shaped molecular structure. tRNAs have two regions of fundamental functional importance: the anti-codon, which is responsible for specific mRNA codon recognition, and the 3' end, to which the tRNAs corresponding amino acid is attached (by aminoacyl-tRNA synthetases). tRNAs cope with the degeneracy of the genetic code in two manners: having more than one tRNA (with a specific anti-codon) for a particular amino acid; and 'wobble' base-pairing, i.e. permitting non-standard base-pairing at the 3rd anti-codon position.
Source: RNAcentral
GCCGGAGUGGCGGAAUUGGCAGACGCCUGGGACUUAAAAUCCCAUGGGAGAGAUCCCGUGCCGGUUCGACCCCGGUCUCCGGCACCA